GAUAAACGCUAGCGGCAGGCCUAACACAUGCAAGUCGAGGGGCAUCACGUGUAGCAAUACAUGGUGGCGACCGGCGGACGGGUGCGCAACGCGUGAGCAACCAACCUUAUGCAGGGGGAUAACCCGAAGAAAUUCGGCCUAAUACCGCAUGUUUUUGUGCGCAGGCAUCUGCGCGCAAGCAAAUAUUAAUAGGCAUAAGACGGGCUCGCGUCCCAUUAGCUAGUUGGCGGGGUAACGGCCCACCAAGGCUACGAUGGGUAGGGGUUCUGAGAGGAUACACCCCCACACCGGCACUGAGAUACGGGCCGGACUCCUACGGGAGGCAGCAGUGAGGAAUAUUGGACAAUGGGCGCAAGCCUGAUCCAGCCAUGCCGCGUGCAGGAAGACGGCCCUAUGGGUUGUAAACUGCUUUUGGGAGGGAGCAAUACUGCGUACGCGUACGCAGCUGAGCGUACCUUCCGAAUAAGCAUCGGCUAACUCCGUGCCAGCAGCCGCGGUAAUACGGAGGAUGCGAGCGUUAUCCGGAUUUAUUGGGUUUAAAGGGUGCGUAGGCGGAUGGGUAAGUCAGCGGUGAAAUAUAUACGCUUAACGUGUAUCGUGCCGUUGAUACUGCCUGUCUUGAGUGCGAGCGAGGCUGGCGGAAUGCGCGGUGUAGCGGUGAAAUGCAUAGAUAUCGCGCAGAACUCCGAUUGCGAAGGCAGCUGGCCAGCUCGCCACUGACGCUGAGGCACGACAGCGUGGGGAUCAAACAGGAUUAGAUACCCUGGUAGUCCACGCCGUAAACGAUGAAUGCUCGCUGCUUGCUGGGCAACCGGUGAGCGGCCAAGCGAAAGCGCUAAGCAUUCCACCUGGGGAGUACGGCCGCAAGGCUGAAACUCAAAGGAAUUGACGGGGGCCCGCACAAGCGGAGGAACAUGUGGUUUAAUUCGAUGAUACGCGAGGAACCUUACCCGGGCUUGAAAUGGAGAGGGAUACGGGUGAAAGCCUGUAGCCAGCAAUGGCCUCUUUGUAGGUGCUGCAUGGUUGUCGUCAGCUCGCGCCGUGAGGUGUCGGCUUAAGUGCCACAACGAGCGCAACCCUUGCCGUUAGUUACCAGCGUGAAAGACGGGUACUCUAGCGGGACUGCCACCGUAAGGUGCGAGGAAGGUGGGGAUGACGUCAAAUCAGCACGGCCCUUACGUCCGGGGCGACACACGUGUUACAAUGGGGGGUACAGCGGGCAGCAAGCCGGUGACGGUGAGCAAAUCCUGAAAGCCCCUCUCAGUUCGGAUCGGAGUCUGCAACUCGACUCCGUGAAGUUGGAUUCGCUAGUAAUCGCGCAUCAGCCAUGGCGCGGUGAAUACGUUCCCGGGC
This 1353-nucleotide ribosomal RNA is filed under the name uncultured Bacteroidales bacterium. Its description in RNAcentral is "bacterial SSU rRNA". It matches the Rfam family "Bacterial small subunit ribosomal RNA", at positions 28 to 1379 of the family's 1533-position model. The record is from RNAcentral. Lineage: Bacteria; Pseudomonadati; Bacteroidota; Bacteroidia; Bacteroidales.